AAGAAAUUAGUUUAAAAAUUUUAAAACAAUUGAAUGUCAAUCUUUAAAUAUUAUAAAUAAUAUUUCUUA
RNAcentral lists this transfer RNA (69 nucleotides) under Paramastax nigra. RNAcentral's name for it is "tRNA-Asp". The record is from RNAcentral. Lineage: Eukaryota; Metazoa; Arthropoda; Insecta; Orthoptera; Eumastacidae.